Molecule: ribosomal RNA, 254 nt
Filed under: uncultured bacterium
Lineage: Bacteria
Description: partial 16S ribosomal RNA
Rfam family: Bacterial small subunit ribosomal RNA
Source: RNAcentral
GACGGAGGGGGCGAGCGUUGUUCGGAAUUAUUGGGCGUAAAGGGCGCGUAGGCGGAUCGUCGUGUCCGGCGUGAAAUCUCCACCCCUCAACGGGGGGGCGUGGCUGGAAACUACCGGUCUGGAGUUCGGUAGAGGAGCAUGGAAUUCACGGUGUAGCGGUGGAAUGCGUAGAUAUCCGGAAGAACACCAGUGGCGAAGGUGGGGUUCUGGGCCGAAACUGACGCUGAGGCGCGAAAGCUAGGGGAGCAAACGGG